GUCGCCGAGGCGGGGUCUGAUAUCGGGCCUCUGCGUCUCCUGGAUCCAUCGCGUCAGGAGUUCCUCCCUUGCCUUGGAGGCGCCUUUCUUGGGCGAGCGCGGCCUCUCGUCCCUCCUCGGGCUGCGGAAGGCGUAGGCCCAAUGACCUUUCCCCCUCUGCCGCCUCUGGUACUAUGCGAUCGAGCAUACCCCGUUUCUUUAAUAUUUUCUUCUUUCGAUGUCUUCUUUACGGUGUGUUUUCCUUUAGUUUCUUGGAUGAACUCUCGUGCAUCUCGAUGUCUUUGUUUGAACUUGUUGUGGUUGGCGUCCAACAAGCCUUGACGUUCUUGAUUUGUUUGUUGGCAACGGUUGACGAGAUUUAGGUUUGCGAUUAGUUAGUGCACAUGGAGAUUUGGGUUCGAGAUUGGGAGUUUCGUUGCUUGCAUGAUGAUUCCUUUGCUGAUUAAUAGUGAAAACGAUUCUAGUUUAAGAUAUAUGUUUCUUUUUGCCUGUUACGAAUGCCAAGCCCUAAUUACGGACCCUUUUUUGGUUGGCUUAAUCUUGAUGGCCGAAUAUUAGGAGUCGAAUGUUAGAAUGGAUACACAGUCAAUCAGAUUCAACAACAAUUUUUGGAUUUCACGUUUAUUGUCAAUCAAAUACACAGUCGAAUGAUUAAUAGUGAAAACGAUUCUAGUUUAAGAUAUAUGUUUCUUUUGCCUGUUACGGAUGCCAAGCCCUAAUAUACGGACCCUUUUUUGGUUGGCUUAAUCUUGAUGGCCGAAUAUUAGGAGUCGAAUGUUAGAAUGGAUACACAGUCAAUCAGAUUCAACAACAAUUUUUGGAUUUCACGUUUAUUGUCACCAAUGUGGUGAUAUGUUUAUGUGACGUUUAGCAAUGAAAACAUAAGUAUAGUUUCUUUGAUCGUGCUUCUUGAUAUCUUUGUUUGUGGAUGAACAUAUCUCUACCUGUCAUUUUACUUUGAUGUCAUAUUUUAAUCACCACCUCUUCUCUCCGAUAAUUUGGUAAUAAUUUACAUCCCAUUAGUGGAAAUGGAAGAAAACUUGAAUGGACUUAUUAGUGCUAUUAUCAUUAGUUUAGAAUUAGACAUUUUGGGUUAGUGAUUCAUGCUCAACAAAUUAAUGCAUCAGUUACACCCCAUUAGAUCAGAUCAUGGCUUGGUAGUGUUCUCCAUACAAGAUACAAUGCUUGUUCCUAACUUUAGAUAGCCAUGAAAUUGUCAAGGACAACAAAAUGAAAUAAAUAAUAAAUUCCUUACAAGUUUUUUUAUAAAAAAUCCAUAUGAAAUUUUGCUACUCUUUGCUGUGACAGAUGAAAGAGAAUUAGAAAAAUAAGUAAAUGGAACUGCAACAAAAGAGGUAAAAUGGCAACAUCUUUCCUCAUAACUAAUCCAUCAUGAUCUUGAUAAAAACUUUUAUUGGUCAACAAGAUCAAUUAGAUUCAUGCCUUUAAUGUAGAAAAAGGCAUGACAAAUGGAGGACCUUCAAGAAAUGAGAUCCUCAGCACCGAUGCAGAAAGAUUAUUCUAUCAUGAAGAGUAUUCUAUCAUGAAUAUUAUUACCAAAUUGUUGAGAGAAAAAGGUUUUGAUUAAAAUCUUAAAGCUUGACAUCCAAAUAAAGGUAUGAUAUCCAGGAUUUAAAAUAAUAUCUUUUAAGAAAUGCAAAGAUAGAAUAUGAAGACAUUCUAAGCGUGUAGAUUCUAAUCCAUGUAUAUAAGUUAAUUGAAUAAUAAUUUUGAAAUUAUCAUGAUUGAUUUCCUUCCUUACGUUGGAGACCCUUCCUUCGCACUGCUUUAUUAGUAGAGGCCCAAUCAAGGAAGAUACGAUGAUAUGAGAGCGAUCUUUAGGAGAUAUAGGUUCUUGACUUACCCUUUUUUAUUAUGAUUUUUUAGAUUUUGGGAUUUUAAUGUGUAGAAGUUGUUGGAUCAUGUUUAGUAUUAUUUCUUAUUUUCAGAAAUUUUAUGAGUUAUUUAGAUAUAAAAAAUAUGAUGUCUAUGCGUGAUCCUAGCAUGAAAAAUGUAAUUUACAGAUUAAAAUGGUUUUCUUGUUUUAAAAUUCGGGUCUAUUGAUUUAUGAGAAAUUUUAAUUUAUGAAAAAUGAUUUGCAAUCUAAUAAUUAAUAUUCUGAUUUAGAUGUUUAAUCAUAGUUUUCUGAUGUUGGUAUAUGUUAUAGAUUGUUAUUUUUGUUGAUUUUUAAUUUUUGUUGAAAAAAUAUAUUCGAUUAAAUUCAACUUGGUUAGUUAGAUGAAAUAUAUAUAAAAGGAUAUGCAUACCAUGUCUCUUUUCAAUAUUGGUCAAUGUACCUUUGUAAAGACCAAUUCAUCACCUGAGGUCGAAUCCCACUCUUGUUACUUAAAUUCUUUACUAAAAAUAAAAAAAAGAAAAGAAAGAAUGCAUACGACUCUUCUAAAUAUAGAGGCUAUUAUUUCCAUGACUUGAAAUGAAUUAUUAUCUUUUUUCAGUCACAUUUAGGUCACAAACUGUACGAGGUAUGCAAAAUCAGGAGACUUUAUCUCAACUACUUGUUUACAGCUUGAGGAACUAUAACAAAGUUUGUGCUUUAUGGUAGAUUUCUUACAGCUUUUCCUUUCAUUUGUUUCAUCUUGCACAACUUGCUCCUCUCUCUUAUGCUUUUCGGCAAUUCACCUAUUCUUCCUUCCUUUGGGGAGUUCUUAUCAUUUCAGUCAACAGCCAGUGAGAAUUAGAUCCAUGGUGUCAAAAAUUUUCUGACUUGACGUUGGCCUUGAGAAUGCAAAUGUUAUGAUAGAUUUUUGGGUUUUUCUUGACAAAGGGGAUUAUUAUGUCAAGACAUGUCUCGUCAUGUCAGAAAACAUUAAUCAGUAGAUCUCUCACGGUAUUUAUCUUCUGGGGGCACAUCCCUUCGUUGCAGCUUCUAUCAAACAGGUUUAUAUUCGCCAUUUUAGAAUUAUUAUUAUUAUUAUUAUUAUUUUUGCCUAUCCAAGACCAAACUUUGAAGCAACAAAGUGCCUAUGGGUAUUUCUUACCCCUGGUUUGGUUACUGGCUCCCGUAUCUGCGUUGUGGUUGGUGCUCCACUGGGGGCCACAUCGGAUCUUCGGGCAGUGGGUCUGCGCAGGCUGCGUGACAACCACAUCCUGGAUUCUGCUCAUCGCGGUCUCCCUUAUGCGGCUGCCGUGCAACAAAGCGGUGGGAACGACCUUCGAUUCUCCUCAACGAUCUUGGGUGGGUCAAUUCGAUUUUCUUUUUAAGACAACACUUUGACGCCCUACUGCCGUCGGCAAGUCUCCGUGAUUACCCAUUUUUUGAAGGCUACCUCGGUACUCACUUCCAUGCUGUAGGCAAGAACACUGAUGAGACGAGCUUUGAAUCAAUUGAGAUCAAUCCUUCGAGGCGGCCGUAACACCACCCACGGUGGCGGUACCGACGAGCUUCGAUCGUUUCCAGGGGGCGAUAAAACGCCUGACUAAUAAUCUCGGAUUCUGCUCACCGCCGAUGGUGAGAAUGAGAAAGCAUGUUCGUCCACGUGUUCUAAUCAGGUGAGCGAUGUUGAGAAUAACCUGCACACAGUCAUUACAGAUUUGCCAUGUACCAACAGAAUAAUGACUACAAAAUUUUACAGGCUCCCCACGAAGAAGAACUUGAUAGAUACCAAAAAUACCCAUGUAGAGUUGGUUAGGAGGCGGCUAGGACGGCCAUCACAUCGGACGCCUUCAAAACAAUGUAAUCAGCACCGUCGGCACCCUUGAACUCGCUUCCUGCAUAUUUGG
Molecule: long non-coding RNA, 3741 nt
Filed under: Musa acuminata (dwarf banana)
Lineage: Eukaryota; Viridiplantae; Streptophyta; Magnoliopsida; Zingiberales; Musaceae
Description: long non-coding RNA (MACU_LNC006477)
Source: RNAcentral